Molecule: ribosomal RNA, 512 nt
Filed under: uncultured bacterium
Lineage: Bacteria
Description: bacterial SSU rRNA
Rfam family: Bacterial small subunit ribosomal RNA
Source: RNAcentral
GACGUCUACGAGUUUGAUCAUGGCUCAGAUUGAACGCUGGCGGCAUGCCUAACACAUGCAAGUCGAACGGCAGCACGGGAGCUUGCUCCUGGCGGCGACCGGCGCACGGGUGCGUAACACGUAUGGAACUUACCCUUUACUGGGAGAUAGCCCGGAGAAAUCCGGAUUAAUAUCCCAUAAUAAACGAAGUGGCAUCACUUUGUUUUGAAAGCUCCGGCGGUAAAGGAUGGCCAUGCGCACGAUUAGCUAGUAGGUGAGGUAACGGCUCACCUAGGCUACGAUCGUUAGGGGGCCUGAGAGGGUUAUCCCCCCACACUGGUACUGAGACACGGACCAGACUCCUACGGGAGGCAGCAGUGAGGAAUAUUGCGCAAUGGAGGCAACUCUGACGCAGCCAUGCCGCGUGCAGGAAGAAGGCGCUACGCGUUGUAAACUGCUUUUAACCGGGAAGAAACCCUCCGACGUGUCGGAGGUUGACGGUACCGGAGGAAUAAGCACCGGCUAACUUCGUG